CCUGCACGUUAUGAUGUGUGAGUGGACAAGUGCCAGGGACCGUCAGGCUCUAACUUGCCAGAAACAUGGAAGAAGAGUCAUAACAGAAGAGAUUCUCAUUAUAUUAAGACACCUACGUGCUCUGAGGAUGGGGAAUCCCAGCUGCAAAAGAGUCAGAGGAGGACCCGCAUCUCAACACAGCCAGCAACAUGCAGACUAAUGCACCCAGUGAUAUCCAGGUCCUGCCGAUGCCCCAGGUGGGUCACUAAGGAAAGGGCUCGUGCAAAAUUCCAAGGACUUAAAGCAUGAAGAGAUUCAAUACAGAAAAGAGGUAUGGAUAAUAGCUGCAAUACAGUUGCAGUCGGUAUGGAUUUCCUCGUAACAGCCAGUACCAAUAAUCCUCUGGCAGUGGUAGACACUGAGUUGCAAUACAGAGCCAAACCUGAAGAGCAAGUGUGUGGGUCCCCAUCACCCUGCAGCUCCCGGUGAGGUUGGCAGGUGCUCAGAGGGGCAGGCCUCACCAGGGCGCUGUGCAGAAGCCAUUUCCUGUUUUCACAACAUGAAGUGUAUGUUUGCCCUGCUCAACACCAUAUUAGCGUCUUUAUCUGGUCUUUGAUUUCUCCUAGGUUUCAUAAAUCUCAGCUAGCCCCAUCCCUCACUGUUUAAUGUAAGCAGUGGAUAAAAAGCAUAUGUAACUUUUUCAAUAAGAUUUCUGGCUUCACCCUUUUAACCCAAAGAAUAACUAUAAAUAGUUUAUAAUGUCUGGGAUUUCCACAGCCUAAGUGCAGCUAUAAAUAGUUCUAAACAUUUUCCCACUUCAUGCUUUUGAAAAGAACAUUCUCCACUUCCUUUCUUGGAGAACCCUUGGGAAUAAUGCUAGAUCACAGCUCAGAAAAUAUGUAUAUUAGGAGAGUUUAGCAAAGCAUAGCUAACAAAGUUGCUAACAGCAGCUCUCAAAUUAAUUUCACAUAAGGAAAGGGUCAUGCGUCUUUUGUAACAAGUUCAUAUUCAUAAUUCACCCCAGGACACUUAAAAAUCAGCCAUUUGUGGUAUGUCUGUAUUCACUUAGCCCAUGAGGGUAUUUUAGGGGUUGUUUGUUUUUGCAAGGAAUUCGUUGUUCUCCAGCCUCGCAAGCGAUGGCAGGAUUUAUUUGUAUUUACUUGAAGUACGUGUGUGUCCAGCAUCUGGUAUUUCAAGCACUACAGCAGAACACGUCCUUU
RNAcentral lists this long non-coding RNA (1199 nucleotides) under Struthio camelus australis. Its description in RNAcentral is "lncRNA (ENSSCUG00000009136.1)". Lineage: Eukaryota; Metazoa; Chordata; Aves; Struthioniformes; Struthionidae. The record is from RNAcentral.